This 68-nucleotide transfer RNA is filed under the name Trifida elongata. RNAcentral describes it as "tRNA-Met". The record is from RNAcentral. Lineage: Eukaryota; Metazoa; Arthropoda; Insecta; Hemiptera; Cicadellidae.
AUAAAGAUAAGCUAAUUAAGCUACUAGGUUCAUACCCUAAUUAAAGAAGUAGAGUCUUCUUCUUUAUA